AGGUGCCUACGGGGGGCAGCAGUAGGGAAUCUUCCACAAUGGGCGAAAGCCUGAUGGAGCAACGCCGCGUGGGUGAGGAAGGUCUUCGGAUCGUAAAACCCUGUUGUUAGAGAAGAAAGUGCGUGAGAGUAACUGUUCACGUUUCGACGGUAUCUAACCAGAAAGCCACGGCUAACUACGUGCCAGCAGCCGCGGUAAUACGUAGGUGGCAAGCGUUAUCCGGAUUUAUUGGGCGUAAAGGGAACGCAGGCGGGCCUUUAAGUUUGAUGUGAAAGCCUUGGGCUUAACCGGAGUAGUGCAUUGGA
Molecule: ribosomal RNA, 305 nt
Filed under: uncultured bacterium
Lineage: Bacteria
Description: bacterial SSU rRNA
Rfam family: Bacterial small subunit ribosomal RNA
Source: RNAcentral